GGGGUUGUCACUCAGUGGUAGAGCACUCGCCUAGCAUGUGGGAGGCCCUGAGUUCAAUCCUCAGCACCA
This 69-nucleotide transfer RNA is filed under the name Ictidomys tridecemlineatus (thirteen-lined ground squirrel). Its description in RNAcentral is "Spermophilus tridecemlineatus (thirteen-lined ground squirrel) tRNA". It matches the Rfam family "tRNA". From Rfam's summary of the family: Transfer RNA (tRNA) molecules are approximately 80 nucleotides in length. Their secondary structure includes four short double-helical elements and three loops (D, anti-codon, and T loops). The record is from Rfam by way of RNAcentral. Lineage: Eukaryota; Metazoa; Chordata; Mammalia; Rodentia; Sciuridae.